RNAcentral lists this ribosomal RNA (141 nucleotides) under uncultured eukaryote. Its description in RNAcentral is "partial 18S ribosomal RNA". It matches the Rfam family "Eukaryotic small subunit ribosomal RNA", at positions 1299 to 1458 of the family's 1831-position model. The record is from RNAcentral.
UGGUGGAGUGAUUUGUCUGGUUAAUUCCGUUAACGAACGAGACCUCAGCCUGCUAACUAGCUACGCGGGGAUUUGUCCUCGUGGCCAGCUUCUUAGAGGGACUGUUGGACGACUAGCCAAUGGAAGUCUGAGGCAAUAACA